GACGUAGGGGGCCAGCGUUGUUCGGAAUUACUGGGUGUAAAGGGUUCGUAGGCGGUGCGGCAAGUUGGGAGUGAAAUCUCUGGGCUCAACCCAGAGGCUGCUUCCAAAACUGCUGUGCUUGAGUGUGGGAGAGGCGCGUGGAAUUGCAGGUGUAGCGGUGAAAUGCGUAGAUAUCUGCAGGAACACCCGUGGCGAAAGCGGCUUCCUGGUCCAGUACCGACGUUCAGGCACGAAAGCGUGGGGAGCAAACAGG
This 253-nucleotide ribosomal RNA is filed under the name uncultured bacterium. Its description in RNAcentral is "partial 16S ribosomal RNA". It matches the Rfam family "Bacterial small subunit ribosomal RNA", at positions 524 to 776 of the family's 1533-position model. The record is from RNAcentral.